RNAcentral lists this ribosomal RNA (465 nucleotides) under uncultured bacterium. Its description in RNAcentral is "partial 16S ribosomal RNA". It matches the Rfam family "Bacterial small subunit ribosomal RNA", at positions 28 to 507 of the family's 1533-position model. The record is from RNAcentral.
GAUGAACGCUGGCGGCGUGCUUAACACAUGCAAGUCGAACGGAAAGGCUCCUGCUUGCAGGGGUACUCGAGUGGCGAACGGGUGAGUAACACGUGGGUGAUCUGCCCUGCACUUCGGGAUAAGCCUGGGAAACUGGGUCUAAUACCGGAUAGGACGAUGGUUUGGAUGCCAUUGUGGAAAGUUUUUCGGUGUGGGAUGAGCUCGCGGCCUAUCAGCUUGUUGGUGGGGUAAUGGCCUACCAAGGCGUCGACGGGUAGCCGGCCUGAGAGGGUGUACGGCCACAUUGGGACUGAGAUACGGCCCAGACUCCUACGGGAGGCAGCAGUGGGGAAUAUUGCACAAUGGGCGCAAGCCUGAUGCAGCGACGCCGCGUGGGGGAUGACGGCCUUCGGGUUCUAAACUCCUUUCGCUAGGGACGAAGCGCAAGUGACGGUACCUGGAGAAGAAGCACCGGCUAACUACGUG